AGAGUUUGAUCCUGGCUCAGGACGAACGCUGGCGGCGUGCCUAAUACAUGCAAGUCGAGCGAGCUUGCCUAGAUGAUUUUAGUGCUUGCACUAAAUGAAACUAGAUACAAGCGAGCGGCGGACGGGUGAGUAACACGUGGGUAACCUGCCCAAGAGACUGGGAUAACACCUGGAAACAGAUGCUAAUACCGGAUAACAACACUAGACACAUGUCUAGAGUUUAAAAGAUGGUUCUGCUAUCACUCUUGGAUGGACCUGCGGUGCAUUAGCUAGUUGGUAAGGUAACGGCUUACCAAGGCAAUGAUGCAUAGCCGAGUUGAGAGACUGAUCGGCCACAUUGGGACUGAGACACGGCCCAAACUCCUACGGGAGGCAGCAGUAGGGAAUCUUCCACAAUGGACGCAAGUCUGAUGGAGCAACGCCGCGUGAGUGAAGAAGGGUUUCGGCUCGUAAAGCUCUGUUGGUAGUGAAGAAAGAUAGAGGUAGUAACUGGCCUUUAUUU
RNAcentral lists this ribosomal RNA (502 nucleotides) under uncultured bacterium. Its description in RNAcentral is "bacterial SSU rRNA". It matches the Rfam family "Bacterial small subunit ribosomal RNA", at positions 8 to 480 of the family's 1533-position model. The record is from RNAcentral.